UACAGAGGGGGCAAGCGUUGUUCGGAAUUACUGGGCGUAAAGCGCGUGUAGGCGGCCCUGCAAGUCGGGUGUGAAAUCCCAUGGCUCAACCAUGGAAGUGCACUCGAAACUGCAGGGCUAGAGUCCUGGAGAGGAAGGUGGAAUGCUUGGUGUAGAGGUGAAAUUCGUAGAUAUCAAGCGGAACACCGGUGGCGAAGGCGGCCUUCUGGACAGUGACUGACGCUGAGGUGCGAAAGCGUGGGGAGCAAACAGG
RNAcentral lists this ribosomal RNA (253 nucleotides) under uncultured bacterium. Its description in RNAcentral is "partial 16S ribosomal RNA". It matches the Rfam family "Bacterial small subunit ribosomal RNA", at positions 524 to 776 of the family's 1533-position model. The record is from RNAcentral.